CUUAACUUUAUUUCAGUACUGGAGCAGUCUCUUCACUGCAGACUGAUAACCCACUGAUUACAUCAUCAAUCUUGAUUACUUUGUCAAAUCAGAUGCCACUCGUAAAAAAGUACAAUGCAUGUGCAGUGAUAACUCUCCUCCAAUCCACUGAGAAGUACAGCUUUUAGCCGCGGCAUACAUUGCAUACCAACAAUGGAUGUAAAAUAGAUUCAAAUAGUGAAUCUAUUUCAGUCCGAUGCCCCUUGUAACUGUCUACUUGAUAGCAACUAGUAUGCAUGAAAACUGCAAAAUAUAUCCAGUGCCAUUUCUCAGAAGGC
Pelobates cultripes (western spadefoot toad) is the source of this 317-nucleotide non-coding RNA. Lineage: Eukaryota; Metazoa; Chordata; Amphibia; Anura; Pelobatidae. The record is from the annotation of a GenBank genome assembly.